CCCUUAGAUGUUCUGGGCCGCACACGCGCUACACUGAAGGAGGCAGCGUGUACUCCUGGAUCGAAAGAUUUGGGUAACCCGCGAAUCUCCUUCGUGCUAGGGAUUGAGGUUUGCAAUUAUCCUUCAUGAACGAGGAAUUCCCAGUAAGUGCAAGUCAUAAGCUUGCGCUGACUACGUCCCUGCCCUUUGGACACACCGCCCGUCGCUACUACCGAUUGAAUGAUUUAGUGAGGACUUCGGACUGGGACCGAUGCGGCUUUCGGGCUGCGUCGGUAUUCUGGAAAGAUGUCCAAACUGUAUCAUUUAGAGGAAGUAAAAGUCGUAACA
RNAcentral lists this ribosomal RNA (327 nucleotides) under uncultured eukaryote. Its description in RNAcentral is "partial 18S ribosomal RNA". It matches the Rfam family "Eukaryotic small subunit ribosomal RNA", at positions 1470 to 1796 of the family's 1831-position model. The record is from RNAcentral.